Molecule: RNA transcript, 4419 nt
Organism: Sus scrofa (pig)
Lineage: Eukaryota; Metazoa; Chordata; Mammalia; Artiodactyla; Suidae
Source: RefSeq, a predicted model, not a curated record
ACCUUUUUUAAGAUGGCCGCGCCCACUGUGGUUGUGUAGCUUGGUACGUAGAAGAGACAAAGUGGAAGUGGACAUCUUUGGGGUUGCGGCGCCUUUCUGGGUUGAGACCCGGGUCUCCCCGGAGAUGGGCUAGAGCACGCGCACUGCCCUGUGCGACAUUGCGAUUGGCGUUAAGCCGACAAGUUUUGGGGGGCAGGAAAAGUGGUUGUACGGCAGAUCUUCCAAGAUGGCGGUUCCCACCGCCAGGGCGCUGCCAUACUCUGUCACAGUGUCUUUGUCUAAAAGACGUGAAAGCUAAAGGGAAUCUUCGUCGAUCGAAGGUUGGCGGCCUACAGACUCGAAUGCUACGGAAGCUAAACUCGAUUUCCGAGGAGGAACAGCUAAGUUUGUGAAUCAGCUGGUGCACGAAGGAUCUACUUGGGGGGUCCUGGCUUCCUGGGAUAAAACAGUUCCAAUGAGGGAAGGAACCAAGAUCAACGUUAAUCCUUGACUGGAGACUUCGUACUAGAGCUUCAGGAAGAGCCCAGAAUCAACAAUAGAGCAGACAUUACAGUGGUUGGAGAUCCCUAAAGGCUCCAGAAAAUGUCCAAUUCCCAAGGCUCACUGUCAUUCAAGGAUGUGGCUGUGGUUUUCACCUGGGAGGAGUGGCAGCUACUGGACCCCAUUCAGAAGAACCUGUAUCAAGAUGUGAUGUUGGAAAAUUAUAUCAACCUAGUAUCCAUGGGCCUUGCAUGCCAAGUGUUUGGGACCAUGGAUCCUCUAUAAUUUUCCUUGAGUAGGGUAUCAAGUUACCAACACAGAUUCAUUCUACCAGUUGGAGCAAGAAAGGCCAUGGAUAAUAGAGGAAGAAAUUCAGAAUCAGAUUCAUCCAGAAGAUGCCUGGCAAGUUGAUAAUCACAGAGACUGGCACAAAGGAAACCAUGGCAACCUGGAAACUAUGGAAAAUCACCAAAAAGAGAAUGCAUUUGGAAAAAUAUCUUCUCUGAGCUUAAACCUUGAUGUGUCUUUAGCACAAAUAUCUCAUACAUUUGACAUACUUGAGAAACAUCUGAAACCCAAUCUACAGUAUAUUAUUCAGAAUAAAGGCCAUUUAAGAAAUGAAAUUGACUUUAACCAAUAUGACAAAUUAUUUCUUUAUACUAAGUAUGAGAAAAUUCAUACUGGACAAAAAUACAGUGAAUUUAAUGGGCAUGUAAAGGCUUUCAGACAUCAUCAUGAGUCUCAGCUUAUUAAACACUGGAAAAGUCAAACAGCAGAGAAACACUGUAUCGGCAGUGACUGUGGGAAAGCCUUUUCCCAGAAGUCAGACCUCAUUAAGCAUCAUAGAGCACACAGAGGAGAGAAACCUUAUGGAUGCAGUAGAUGUCAGAAAGCCUUCAGCCAGAAGUCCCAUCUCAUUCUACACCAGAGAACCCAUAUGGGAGAGAAACCUUAUGAAUGUAACAAAUGCGGGAAAGCCUUUACUGAUAAGUCAUGCCUUAAUAAACAUCAGAGAACUCACACAAGAGAGAAACGAUUUGAGUGUCGAGUAUGUCAGACAGGCUUCAGUGAUAAGUCACAACUCACUUUACAUCAAAGAACUCAUACAGGAGAGAAACCCUACAGAUGUGGUGAAUGUCAGAAAAGCUUCAGCAAUAAGUCACAGCUCAUUAUUCACCAGAGAUCUCACACGGGAGAGAAGCCCUAUGGUUGCAAAGAGUGUGGGAAAACAUUUCCCCUUAAGUUUAGUCUCAUUUUACAUCAAAAAACGCAUACAGGGGAAAAACCCUAUGGAUGCAAUGAAUGUGGGAAAGCCUUCAUCCAGAGAUCUGAGCUCAUUAGACAUCAGAGAACUCACACAGGAGCGAAACCUUACAAUUGCAGUGAAUGUGGGAAAGGCUUUAGUGUAAAGUCACUCCUCAAUACUCACUGGAGAACUCAUACAGGAGAGAAGCCCUAUGGAUGCCAUGAAUGUGGAAAAACAUUCUCCAUCAAAUUUAGUCUCAUACUACACCAGAGGACUCAUACAGGGGAGAAACCCUAUGAAUGCAGUCAGUGUCAGAAAGCUUUCACUCAAAAGUCACAUCUCACUAUUCAUCAGAGGUCUCACACCGGAGAGAAAGCUCAUGAAUGCAGUGAGUGCCACAAGGCCUUCAGCCGGAAGUCAUAUCUCCUCAUUCAUCAGAGAAUUCACUCUGGAGAGAAACCUUAUGAAUGCCACGAAUGUGGAAAGACUUUCUCUCACAAGUUUAGUCUCAUCAUUCAUCAGAGAAUCCAUACAGGAGAGAAACCAUAUGGAUGCAGUGAAUGUGGGAAAACUUUUCCUAUCAAGUUUAGCCUUGUGUUACAUCAGCAAACACACACAGGAAAGAAACCCCAUGAAUGCAACCAAUGUCAGAAGUCUUUUGCCCAGAAGUCACAUCUUAUUAUACAUCAAAGAACUCACACUGGUGAGAAGCCUUAUGGAUGCAGUCAAUGUGGGAAAACUUUCUCCCACAAAUUCAGCCUCCUUUUACAUCAGAAAACUCAUAGAGAGAAGUCAUGAAUAAAAUACAUACCCAAAAGUUGUCAUUGAGAAGGAAUAGCUCAUUACAUCCCAGAGUUUACACAGGAGUGGAACCUUAAGACAGCAGCAGAUGUGGACAUGUCUUCAUAUUCACACUUUAUUACUGAGAGAAUGGCACUGCAUAGAACGCCAAACAGGAAGGAAUACCUUUCCCAAUAAAUGUCAAUUGAAUGUAACCCAGAGAGAAAUAGAAAGGAACUUCUGUCUAUGUAUUAAUUGUCGGGAUGUUUUGGUGUGAAAUUCAGCUACACUGGCAUCAGAGAAUUGACAUUCAGGGGAAAAUCCUAUACUUUAAAGGAUAUAGGGGACCAUACUUUCAUGAGUAUUGUUUUUUUUGGGGGGAGUUGACUUUUUUUUUUUUUGCCACACUCACGACACAGGGAAGUUCUCAGGCUAGGGGUCAAAGUGGAGCUAUAGCUGCUAGCCACAGUCACAGCCACAGCCACAUGGGAUCCAAGCCAUGUCUGCUACCUAUGCCACAGCUCACGACAACACCAGACCCUUAACGCACUAAUCAAGGCCAGGGGUCAAACCCAAGUCCUCAUGGAUACUAGCUGGGUUCGUUACUGCUGAGCUGUGACAGGAACUCCUCAUGGGUAUUGUUUUAUGAGGGAAGUAGUUUUCUGCAAUUGUGACAUAAUAAAUGGCAUUAUAGAAAAUAUUAAAUAUGUAAAUACAGGAGUCUUAAAAAAAUUAUAUCAGUACUAUGUGAGAUAUAUGUGUUCUGUACCUAUUUUUAUUAUAAAAAUGAUUGUUCAUACUUGGAAAUUGUAUUAAAUCUGUAAAUAAAUUCAGUAGUCAUAAACCAAAAAAAUUACAUCAGAACUAUGUGAGAAUAUAUGUGUUCUGUACCUAUUUUUAUUAUAAAAAUGACAGUUCAUAUUUGGGAAUUGCACAUUGUUAGCAUAACAAUUGUGACUCCCUAGUACAUGUGCAGCAAUGUAUAUAAAACUGACCCACAGAAUAUCUGCAUUGAGUCUUUGAAUCAUUACAAUGCUACAUAAAUUAUAAUUGAAGUACAUGUUUCAUUAUUUUAGUAUGAAAUCUUUUUUUUUUUUUUUUUGCCUUUUGUCUUUUUAGAGCUGCACCUGCGGCAUGUGGAGGUUACCAGGCUAGGGCUCUCAUUGGAGCUAUAGCUGCCGGCCACAGCCACAGCCACAGCAAUGCCAGAUCUGAGCCGCAUCUGUGAUCUACACCACAGCUUACAGCAACGCCGGAUCCUUAACCCACUGAGCAAGGCCAGGGAUGGAACCUGCAACCUCAUGGUUCUUAAUCAGAUUCAUUUCCUCUGCGCCAUGACGGGAACUCCUUAGUAUGAAAUCUUAAUAAUACUGAAUAUCUCUCAACACCUCUCCCACCAUGUCCCACUAUUUGCUGGUAUUAGUAAGUGGGCCUGGAAAUUUUUCUUUUUCUUUCUCUUAUUACGGCCGCACUUGUGGCAUAUGGAAGUUCCCAGGCUAGGGGUCAAAUCAGAGCUGCAGAUGCCAGCCUACACCACAGCCACAGUAACACCAGAUCCAAGCCAUGUCUGUGACCUCUGCUGCAGCUGUGGCAAUCCCAGAUCCUUAACCCACUGAGCAAGGCUAGAGAUCAAACCUGCAUCCUCAAGGACACCAUAUUGGGUUUUUAACCCGCUAAGCCACUACAGGAACUCUGGUCCUGGAAAUUUUUGAGCCUCUCUUGAGUAAAACCUUUUCCAUCGAUUCUAAGGUGGAAAAAUUUUCCCAUGGAUUAAUAAUGCUGAAGUUACCACAGACCUAGAGAUUAUCAUACUAAGUAAGGCAGACAAAGACAGAUGUCGUAUGAUACUUCUUAUAUGUGGAAUCUAAAAAAAAAAAAAAAAAAUAGAAAUGAACCUAUUUACAAAAUAGAGA